Molecule: ribosomal RNA, 588 nt
Filed under: Cicindela (Rivacindela) sp. JP-22
Lineage: Eukaryota; Metazoa; Arthropoda; Insecta; Coleoptera; Carabidae
Description: partial 16S ribosomal RNA
Rfam family: Bacterial large subunit ribosomal RNA
Source: RNAcentral
UGCCCAAUGAGGAUUUAAAUGGCCGCAGUAUUUUGACUGUGCAAAGGUAGCAUAAUUAUUAGUUUUUUAAUUGAAAGCUUGUAUGAAGGGUUGGACGAGAUGAAAUCUGUCUUUAUUUAAAUUAAAAUAUAAUUUAACUUUUAAGUAAAAAGGCUUAAAUGUUUAUAAAAGACGAGAAGACCCUAUAGAUCUUUAUUUAAUUAAAAUUUUAAUAAUUUAGGAUUAUUUUAAUUUAAAGUUUUAAUUAAAUUUUAUUGGGGUAAUAUAAAGAUUAAAUAAAUUCUUUUUAUUUAUAACAUUGAUUUAUGAAUAUAUGAUCCAUUAAUAUUGAUUAUAAGAUUAAGUUACCUUAGGGAUAACAGCGUAAUUUUUUUGGAGAGCUCAUAUCGAUAAAAAAGUUUGCGACCUCGAUGUUGGAUUAAAAAUUAGCUUGGGUGCAGAAGCUCAAGAUUUUGGUCUGUUCGACCAUUAAAUUUUUACAUGAUCUGAGUUCAGACCGGCGUGAGCCAGGUCGGUUUCUAUCUUUAUUAAGAUAAAAUGUUUUAGUACGAAAGGACCAAAUAUUUAAUAUAAUUAUAUUUAUUUUUU